GAUGAACGCUGACAGAAUGCUUAACACAUGCAAGUCGAUGGGGAAGUGGUGCUUGCACCAUGGUAACCAUGGCGGACGGGCGAGUAACGCGUAAGGAACUUGCCUGCGGGACUGGGAUAACAGCAGGAAACUGCUGAUAAUACCGGAUAAGGUCAUUAAGCUGCAUAGCUUAGUGAUGAAAGGAGACGCCUGCGGAGAGCCUUGCGUCCUAUUAGCUAGUUGGAGGGGUAACGGCCCACCAAGGCGAAGAUAGGUAGCCGGCCUGAGAGGGUGGACGGCCACAAGGGGACUGAGAUACGGCCCUGACUCCUACGGGAGGCAGCAGUGGGGAAUAGUGGACAAUGGGGGCAACCCUGAUCCAGCAAUUCUGUGUGCACGAAGACGGUUUUCGGAUUGUAAAGUGCUUUCAGCAGGGAAGAAGGAAGUGACGGUACCUGCAGAAGAAGCGACGGCUAAAUACGUG
This 463-nucleotide ribosomal RNA is filed under the name uncultured bacterium. RNAcentral's name for it is "partial 16S ribosomal RNA". It matches the Rfam family "Bacterial small subunit ribosomal RNA", at positions 28 to 507 of the family's 1533-position model. The record is from RNAcentral.